Ribosomal RNA from Entamoeba invadens IP1, 767 nucleotides. It matches the Rfam family "Eukaryotic large subunit ribosomal RNA", at positions 666 to 1454 of the family's 3401-position model. Lineage: Eukaryota; Evosea; Mastigamoebida; Endamoebidae. The record is from Rfam.
CCACGAGGGUUAACAUCGGAGCGAAUAGGAAGGGAAGAAAACCCAGAUAUGAAGCGAAAACGAAGGACUAAACAUAUAGCAGGAGUCACCUAGGAAAGGCUAGAGUUAAACUGUUGGGACCCGAAAGAUGGUGAACUAUGCUUGUGGUGUUUGAAGUCGAAGGAAACUUUGGUGGAAGGACUUAGGAGUGUUAAUGUGCAAAUUAUUUGCAAUAUAUGAGUAUGGGGCGAAAGGCUAAUCGAACUAUCUAGCAGCUGGUUCCACCUGAAUAUUCCCUUGGGAAGGUUGAAGUGAGAAAGUAGUGACGAUUGGUAAAGACAAUGAUUACACAUGAUGGACAGUUUGAUUUUUCAACAAUUUAACAAACUAUGAAUAGUCGAGAGAUUCAAAAAUAUACUAAUUUAUUAGGAAUGAGCAUAUGCGGACUUCAAUUCGUCCUAGUUUGGAAAGCAGGACUGGCGAUGCGGGAUGAACCAAACAUACAGAUAAAGUAUCCAAGUCUUGCAUGAGGAGAACCAUUGAAAAUAUUUAUUCAUAUUGACAGGAAAUUUGCCAUUGAAAUUGUAAAUUUUUAGAAAAGUGUAACAACUCAUUUACCGAAUGGAUGAGCCCUGAAAAUGGAAGGUAAUAAAAUGAGAGAGGUGAUAUUGUAUUUUUGUGGAGGCUGAGGCACACGAGGAGUAAGGAAAUACAUGGUGUCAAGAAUACGUGAGAGAUAAAGGUCGAGAAGUAAUUUUUAUUGAAACAGACUUGAGUACAGAUCUUGG